CGCCCUCGAGGGCCUCCGCCCGCGCGCCAUCGUCCUCUCCGGAGGGCCCCACUCCGUCCACGCCAAGGGGGCGCCCACCUUCCCCGAGGGGUUCCUGGACUUCGCCGACGGCGCGGGCGCCCACGUGCUCGGCGUCUGCUACGGGAUGCAGCUGCUCGUGCAGUUCCUCGGAGGCGCUGUCGAGCCCGGGGAGCGGCAGGAGUACGGGAAGAUGGACGUCGAGGUGACGGCGCCGUCCUCCGCGCUGUACGGGGAGGCGGAAACCGGGAAGCG
Molecule: long non-coding RNA, 273 nt
Filed under: Setaria italica (foxtail millet)
Lineage: Eukaryota; Viridiplantae; Streptophyta; Magnoliopsida; Poales; Poaceae
Description: long non-coding RNA (SITA_LNC004541)
Source: RNAcentral